Molecule: ribosomal RNA, 435 nt
Filed under: uncultured bacterium
Lineage: Bacteria
Description: partial 16S ribosomal RNA
Rfam family: Bacterial small subunit ribosomal RNA
Source: RNAcentral
GAUGAACGCUGGCGGUAUGCUUAACACAUGCAAGUCGAACGGACUCUUCGGAGUUAGUGGCGGACGGGUGAGUAACGCGUGAGAAUCUGGCUUUGGGUUCGGGACAACCACUGGAAACGGUGGCUAAUACCGGAUGUGCCGAGAGGUAAAAGAGAAAUUGCCUGAAGAUGAGCUCGCGUCUGAUUAGCUAGUUGGUGAGGUAAAGGCUCACCAAGGCAGCGAUCAGUAGCUGGUCUGAGAGGAUGGCCAGCCACACUGGGACUGAGACACGGCCCAGACUCCUACGGGAGGCAGCAGUGGGGAAUUUUCCGCAAGGGGCGAAAGCCUGACGGAGCAGUACCGCGUGAGGGAAGAAGGCUCUUGGGUUGUAAACCUCUUUUCUUAGGGAAGAACAAAAUGACGGUACCUAAGGAAUCAGCAUCGGCUAACUCCGUG